GACGUAGGGCGCGAGCGUUGUCCGGAUUUAUUGGGCGUAAAGAGCUCGUAGGCGGCUUGUCGCGUCGACCGUGAAAACUUGGGGCUCAACCCCAAGCCUGCGGUCGAUACGGGCAGGCUCGAGUUCGGUAGGGGAGACUGGAAUUCCUGGUGUAGCGGUGAAAUGCGUAGAUAUCUGGAGGAACACCGGUGGCGAAGGCGGCAUCCUGGACCGGUAUUGACGCUGAGGCGCGAAAGCCAGGGGAGCAAACGGG
RNAcentral lists this ribosomal RNA (253 nucleotides) under uncultured bacterium. Its description in RNAcentral is "partial 16S ribosomal RNA". It matches the Rfam family "Bacterial small subunit ribosomal RNA", at positions 524 to 776 of the family's 1533-position model. The record is from RNAcentral.